CGAAAGUCGAUUCCCUCCGAGACGGAUCCUGAGUACGGCGGGACACGUGAAACCCCGUCGGAAUCCGGCAGGACCAUCUGCCAAGGCUAAAUACUCCCUAGUGACCGAUAGUGAAGCAGUACCGUGAGGGAAAGGUGAAAAGCACCCCGGAAGGGGAGUGAAAAAGAACCUGAAACCGUGCGCUUACAAGAAGUCAGAGCCCGUUAUAGGGGUGAUGGCGUGCCUUUUGUAGAAUGAACCGGCGAGUUAUGAUCACGUGCAAGGUUAAGGUGGAGAGCCGGAGCCGCAGCGAAAGCGAGUCUGAAUAGGGCGAAUAAGUACGUGGUUGUAGACCCGAAACCGUGUGAUCUACCCCUGUCCAGGGUGAAGGUGCGGUAACACGCACUGGAGGCCCGAACCCACGCACGUUGAAAAGUGCGGGGAUGAGGUGGGGGUAGCGGAGAAAUUCCAAUCGAACUCGGAGAUAGCUGGUUCUCCCCGAAAUAGCUUUAGGGCUAGCCUCGGUGUCAAGCGUCGUGGAGGUAGAGCACUGAUUGGAUGCGGGGCCCGCCAAGGGUUACCAAGUUCAGUCAAACUCCGAAUGCCACAGACGUAUAACCGGGAGUCAGACAGUGAGUGCUAAGAUCCAUUGUCAAGAGGGAAACAGCCCAGAUCAUCAGCUAAGGUCCCCAAGUGUGUGUUAAGUGGGAAAGGAUGUGGAGUUGCACAGACAACCAGGAUGUUGGCUUAGAAGCAGCCACCAUUGAAAGAGUGCGUAAUAGCUCACUGGUCGAGUGACUCUGCGCCGAAAAUGUAACGGGGCUAAACACACCACCGAAGCUAUGGCAAUGCAGCAAUGCAUUGGGUAGGGGAGCGUUGAAUACGG
RNAcentral lists this ribosomal RNA (865 nucleotides) under Paenibacillus roseus. RNAcentral's name for it is "Bacterial large subunit ribosomal RNA". It matches the Rfam family "Bacterial large subunit ribosomal RNA", at positions 380 to 1248 of the family's 2925-position model. The record is from Rfam by way of RNAcentral. Lineage: Bacteria; Bacillati; Bacillota; Bacilli; Caryophanales; Paenibacillaceae.